This 432-nucleotide ribosomal RNA is filed under the name uncultured bacterium. RNAcentral's name for it is "partial 16S ribosomal RNA". It matches the Rfam family "Bacterial small subunit ribosomal RNA", at positions 338 to 795 of the family's 1533-position model. The record is from RNAcentral.
CCUACGGGGGGCAGCAGUAAGGAAUAUUGGUCAAUGGAGGCAACUCUGAACCAGCCAUGCCGCGUGCAGGAAGACGGCCUAUGGGUUGUAAACUGCUUUUAUCUGGGAAUAUGUACCAGAAGAAUAAGGAUCGGCUAACUCCGUGCCAGCAGCCGCGGUAAUACGGAGGAUCCAAGCGUUAUCCGGAUUUAUUGGGUUUAAAGGGUGCGUAGGCGGCCUGUUAAGUCAGAGGUGAAAGACGGUAGCUCAACUAUCGCAGUGCCUUUGAUACUGACGGGCUUGAAUGAACUAGAGGUAGGCGGAAUGAGACAAGUAGCGGUGAAAUGCAUAGAUAUGUCUCAGAACACCGAUUGCGAAGGCAGCUUACUAUGGUUUAUUGACGCUGAGGCACGAAAGCGUGGGGAUCAAACAGGAUUAGAUACCCCAGUAGUC